RNAcentral lists this transfer RNA (79 nucleotides) under Flavobacterium hercynium. RNAcentral describes it as "tRNA_Trp_CCA". It matches the Rfam family "tRNA". From Rfam's summary of the family: Transfer RNA (tRNA) molecules are approximately 80 nucleotides in length. Lineage: Bacteria; Pseudomonadati; Bacteroidota; Flavobacteriia; Flavobacteriales; Flavobacteriaceae. The record is from RNAcentral.
GAGCUGGCAGAGUGGUUAAUUGCGUUCGUCUCCAAAACGAAAGACGUUAAUUCGUCACAUGGGUUCGAAUCCCAUGCUC